UACAGAGGGGGCAAGCGUUGUUCGGAAUUACUGGGCGUAAAGGGCUCGUAGGUGGCCAACUAAGUCAUACGUGAAAUCCCUCGGCUUAACCGGGGAACUGCGUCUGAUACUGGAUGGCUUGAGUUUGGGAGAGGGAUGCGGAAUUCCAGGUGUAGCGGUGAAAUGCGUAGAUAUCUGGAGGAACACCGGUGGCGAAGGCGGCAUCCUGGACCAAUACUGACACUGAGGAGCGAAAGCCAGGGGAGCAAACGGG
RNAcentral lists this ribosomal RNA (253 nucleotides) under uncultured bacterium. RNAcentral describes it as "partial 16S ribosomal RNA". It matches the Rfam family "Bacterial small subunit ribosomal RNA", at positions 524 to 776 of the family's 1533-position model. The record is from RNAcentral.